AGGGCACCACCAGGGGUGGAGCCUGCGGCUUAAUUUGACUCAACACGGGGAAACUCAUCCGGUCCGGACACCGUGAGGAUUGACAGAUUGAGAGCUCUUUCUUGAUUUGGUGGGCAGUGGUGCAUGGCCGUUCUUAGUUGGUGGAGUGAUUUGUCUGGUUUAUUCCGAUAACGAACGAGACUCUGGCCUACUAACUAGUUGCGCGAUUGAGGAGUCGUGCCAACUUCUUAGAGGGACAAGCGGUGCUCAGCCGCAUGAAAAAGAGCAAUAACAGGUCUGUGAUGCCCUUCGAUGUUCGGAGCUGCACGCGCGCUACACUGUGAGUGGCAGCAUGUUAGCUUGCCUCGCUCGCAAGAGUGGGGUAAUCGGUUGAAAAUCUCACGUGAUUGGGAUAGGGACUUGUAAUUAUUUCCCUUGAACGAGGAAUCCCUAGUAAGUGCAGGUCAUCAGCUUGCGCUGAUUACGUCCCUGCCCUUUGUACACGCCGCCCGUCGCUGCCCGGAACUGAAGCAUCUCGAG
This 519-nucleotide ribosomal RNA is filed under the name uncultured eukaryote. Its description in RNAcentral is "SSU rRNA". It matches the Rfam family "Eukaryotic small subunit ribosomal RNA", at positions 1161 to 1703 of the family's 1831-position model. The record is from RNAcentral.